UGGGGAACCUGCCCCAUAGUCUGGGAUACCACUUGGAAACAGGUGCUAAUACCGGAUAAGAAAGCAGAUCGCAUGAUCAGCUUUUAAAAGGCGGCGUAAGCUGUCGCUAUGGGAUGGCCCCGCGGUGCAUUAGCUAGUUGGUAAGGUAAAGGCUUACCAAGGCGAUGAUGCAUAGCCGAGUUGAGAGACUGAUCGGCCACAUUGGGACUGAGACACGGCCCAAACUCCUACGGGAGGCAGCAGAU
RNAcentral lists this ribosomal RNA (245 nucleotides) under uncultured Lactobacillus sp. Its description in RNAcentral is "partial 16S ribosomal RNA". It matches the Rfam family "Bacterial small subunit ribosomal RNA", at positions 118 to 354 of the family's 1533-position model. The record is from RNAcentral. Lineage: Bacteria; Bacillati; Bacillota; Bacilli; Lactobacillales; Lactobacillaceae.